AUUGAACGCUGGAGGCAGGCCUAACACAUGCAAGUCGAGCGAGCGGCGGACGGGUGAGUAAUGUAUGGGGACUGCCCGAUAGAGGGGGAUAACUACUGGAAACGGUGGCUAAUACCGCAUACUAUCGGAUAACCCAUAUGGGAUUGGCUAGUAGGUGGGGUAAAGGCUCACCUAGGCGACGAUCUCUAGCUGGUCUGAGAGGAUGAUCAGCAACAGUGGGCCGGAGACACGGCCCAGACUCCGACGGAGGCAGCAGUGGGGAAUAUUGCAAAAGGGGCGCAAGCCUGAUGCAGCCAUGCCGCGUGUAGGAAGAAGGCAUGAGGGUUGGAAAGUACUUUCAGCGGGGAGGCGUUACCCGCAGAAGAAGCACUGCCUAACUCCGUGCCAGCAGCCGCGGUAAUUC
This 403-nucleotide ribosomal RNA is filed under the name uncultured bacterium. RNAcentral's name for it is "partial 16S ribosomal RNA". It matches the Rfam family "Bacterial small subunit ribosomal RNA", at positions 29 to 526 of the family's 1533-position model. The record is from RNAcentral.